UCCGGUUUAACACCGGCAGUCUUGUUAGAGUGCCCGGCUUUACCCGCUGGCAACUAACAAUAAGGGUUUCGCUCGUUAUGGGACUUAACCCGACACUUCACAGCACGAGCUGACGACAGCCAUGCAGCACCUGUGAUGGUUCCGGAUUGGAUACCGGUCAUUGCCCUUUCAGGUUUUUACUUCCACCAUGUCAAGUCCAGGAUAAGGUUCUUCGCGUUGCUUCGAAUUGAGCCACAUGCUCCACCGCUUGUGUGAGCCCCCGUCAAUUCCUUUGAGUUUUAGCCUUGCGACCGUACUUCCCAGGUGGCAGACUUAACAAUUUUUCUACGACCACAACGGGGUGUAACCCGCUGCAAUCUAGUCUGCAUCGUUUAGGGCGUGGACUA
Molecule: unclassified non-coding RNA, 386 nt
Filed under: uncultured Tepidisphaerales bacterium
Lineage: Bacteria; Pseudomonadati; Planctomycetota; Phycisphaerae; Tepidisphaerales
Description: contains 16S-23S intergenic spacer region
Source: RNAcentral